RNAcentral lists this long non-coding RNA (413 nucleotides) under Olea europaea (common olive). Its description in RNAcentral is "long non-coding RNA (OEUR_LNC000220)". Lineage: Eukaryota; Viridiplantae; Streptophyta; Magnoliopsida; Lamiales; Oleaceae. The record is from RNAcentral.
GCUACUCCUGUUAACGAACUGGGGAAAAGUCUCAUUUUAUGGUAAUCGGUUACAUCACCACUUUGCAACGUGAAUCGCCCUAUGUGUUCCAGAGUAGACACCUCUCCUAAACCAGUAAACAGUAAGAAUUCUGGCACUUUGUACCCUCUAGGCCAUGGAUAUGCUUGGUCUACCCAAUCAGGAUAUGGCUUUGUGUAAGUCGGUCUAAUGACAGAACGCACCCCAAAGGCCAUCUGAUCCUGCACGAUUUCCAUAAUCUGAUUUCUCAACAUGACAUUGAGAUCAUAUAGAAUUCCUACAGGCUGAUUAACCGGUUGAUUUGCAUGAGGUCGGAUGUUUGGUCCUUGAUUGGCAACAAAAUUACCAUAAUUAGGGUCAUUACCAUUAGCCUGGACAUCUACCCCCUCGUUACC